This 319-nucleotide long non-coding RNA is filed under the name Androctonus crassicauda. Lineage: Eukaryota; Metazoa; Arthropoda; Arachnida; Scorpiones; Buthidae. The record is from RNAcentral.
GUAAGAUAUGAAAUAUAGUAAAUCUCUUACUUAUGUGGUUUCAGAAAUAUGCAGAUGUCUAAAGGUUUGUUCCCACUAGCAUGGAACCAUGGCAGAAAAUGCAUGCAUGAUGAAAGCAUUGCAGUUUUGAAGUCAUACCAUAGCAUAAAAAUUGCUACCAUCAAGAGUCUAGAUGGAUUCAACUUCACUACAAUGGUAAAAUCUUUCGAAGUAAUAUCCAAUAAUGAAAUCAAUGGAUUUUGUGAUAUUGAAUCAUUGGCAACUUUGACUGAGUCAAGAUAACAGGAUUCUCUAUAGUUAAAUCUCAUCUUAAUCAAAU